UACAGAGGGGGCGAGCGUUGUUCGGAAUUACUGGGCGUAAAGGGCGCGUAGGCGGCCUUCUAAGUCGAACGUGAAAUCCCCGGGCUCAACCCGGGAACUGCGUCCGAUACUGGGAGGCUUGAAUCCGGGAGAGGGAUGUGGAAUUCCAGGUGUAGCGGUGAAAUGCGUAGAUAUCAGGAGGAACACCGGUGGCGAAGGCGGGUCUCUGGGCCGACACUGACGCUGAGGAGCGAAAGCGUGGGGAGCGAACAGG
Molecule: ribosomal RNA, 253 nt
Filed under: uncultured bacterium
Lineage: Bacteria
Description: partial 16S ribosomal RNA
Rfam family: Bacterial small subunit ribosomal RNA
Source: RNAcentral